This 299-nucleotide long non-coding RNA is filed under the name Taeniopygia guttata (zebra finch). RNAcentral's name for it is "lncRNA (ENSTGUG00000023868.1)". The record is from RNAcentral. Lineage: Eukaryota; Metazoa; Chordata; Aves; Passeriformes; Estrildidae.
AUGGCACUAUCCCAUGGGAGAGUUGUGUCCCAUGGAUCAACGCAGGCUGUUAUUUCAGAGGCAGAGAAAUCCUCAGCCUUGCAGAUGAAAUGUAGGCUCCAUGGAGGAAAUGCAGUGAGUGGCUACAUCUGGCUAAAUAUCCAUGUGGAGAAAUGGUGUCAUUACCACCUCAGCACUGCUGUCAGAGCUCUGAGGUCUCCUAUACCCUCUACCCUAAAACAUUAACCUACCCUGGCAGAUAUUAUGAUUUUCUCAGUAUACUGGCAUCUUACUUAGGCCACAUUAAGUUUCUAUGUCUG